AACGAACGCUGGCGGCAUGCCUAACACAUGCAAGUCGAACGAGACCUCCGGGUCUAGUGGCGCACGGGUGCGUAACGCGUGGGAACCUGCCCUUAGGUUCGGAAUAACUCCCCGAAAGGGGUGCUAAUACCGGAUAAUGUCUUCGGACCAAAGAUUUAUCGCCUUUGGAUGGGCCCGCGUUGGAUUAGCUAGUUGGUAGGGUAAAAGCCUACCAAGGCGACGAUCCAUAGCUGGUCUGAGAGGAUGAUCAGCCACACUGGGACUGAGACACGGCCCAGACUCCUACGCGAGGCAGCAGUGGGUAAUAUUGGACAAUGGGCGAAAGCCUGAUCCAGCACUGCCGCGUGAGUGAUGAAGGCCUUAGGGUUGUAAAGCUCUUUUACCCGGGAUGAUAAUGACAGUACCGGGAGAAUAAGCUCCGGCUAACUCCGUG
This 433-nucleotide ribosomal RNA is filed under the name uncultured bacterium. Its description in RNAcentral is "partial 16S ribosomal RNA". It matches the Rfam family "Bacterial small subunit ribosomal RNA", at positions 29 to 507 of the family's 1533-position model. The record is from RNAcentral.